RNAcentral lists this ribosomal RNA (445 nucleotides) under uncultured bacterium. RNAcentral's name for it is "partial 16S ribosomal RNA". It matches the Rfam family "Bacterial small subunit ribosomal RNA", at positions 354 to 796 of the family's 1533-position model. The record is from RNAcentral.
GUGAGGAAUAUUGGUCAAUGGGCGGGAGCCUGAACCAGCCAAGUCGCGUGAAGGAAGAAGGAUCUAUGGUUCGUAAACUUCUUUUGCAGGGGAAUAAAGUGCAGGACGUGUCCUGUUUUGUAUGUACCCUGAGAAUAAGGAUCGGCUAACUCCGUGCCAGCAGCCGCGGUAAUACGGAGGAUCCGAGCGUUAUCCGGAUUUAUUGGGUUUAAAUGGUGCGUAGGUGGUUUGAUAAGUCAGCGGUGAAAGUUUGCAGCUUAACUGUAAAAAUGCCGUUCAAACUGUCUGACUUGAGUGUAAAUGAGGUAGGCGGAAUGCGUGGUGUAGCGGUGAAAUGCAUUGAUAUCACGCAGAACUCCGAUUGCGAAGGCAGCUUACUAAGCUACAACUGACACUGAAGCACGAAAGCGUGGGGAUCAAACAGGAUUAGAUACCCUAGUAGUCC